UACGUAGGGGGCAAGCGUUGUCCGGAAUCAUUGGGCGUAAAGCGCGUGUAGGCGGUUCGGUAAGUCUGCUGUGAAAGUCCAGGGCUCAACCCCUGGGAUGCCGGUGGAUACUGUCGAACUAGAGUACGGAAGAGGCGAGUGGAAUUCCCCGGUGUAGCGGUGAAAUGCGCAGAUAUCGGGAGGAACACCAAUUGCGAAGGCAGCUCGCUGGGACGUCGACUGACGCUGAGACGCGAAAGCGUGGGGAGCAAACAGGG
RNAcentral lists this ribosomal RNA (257 nucleotides) under uncultured bacterium. Its description in RNAcentral is "partial 16S ribosomal RNA". It matches the Rfam family "Bacterial small subunit ribosomal RNA", at positions 524 to 777 of the family's 1533-position model. The record is from RNAcentral.